This 301-nucleotide ribosomal RNA is filed under the name uncultured bacterium. Its description in RNAcentral is "bacterial SSU rRNA". It matches the Rfam family "Bacterial small subunit ribosomal RNA", at positions 505 to 802 of the family's 1533-position model. The record is from RNAcentral.
GUGUCAGCCGCCGCGGCGGUAAUACGGAGGGGGCUGGCGUUGUUCGGAAUUACUGGGCGUAAAGCGCGCGUAGGCGGAUUGGAAAGUUGGAGGUGAAAUCCCAGGGCUCAACCUUGGAACUGCCUUCAAAACUAUCAGUCUAGAGAUCGAGAGAGGUGAGUGGAAUUCCGAGUGUAGAGGUGAAAUUCGUAGAUAUUCGGAGGAACACCAGUGGCGAAGGCGACUCACUGGCUCGGUACUGACGCUGAGGUGCGACAGCGUGGGGAGCAAACAGGAUUAGAUACCCUGGUAGUCCACGCCG